AAAAUGGCCUUCCUAAAGGCCAGAAAACUUAAUUUGUUCAAAAAAAU
This is a non-coding RNA of Musca domestica (house fly), 47 nucleotides long. The record is from Rfam. Lineage: Eukaryota; Metazoa; Arthropoda; Insecta; Diptera; Muscidae.